CCUACGGGUGGCAGCAGUGGGGAAUAUUGGACAAUGGGGGGAACCCUGAUCCAGCCAUACCGCGUGUGUGAAGAAGGCCCUCGGGUUGUAAAGCACUUUCAGUGAGGAAGAACGCCUGGUGGUUAAUACCCAUCAGGAAAGACAUCACUCACAGAAGAAGCACCGGCUAACUCCGUGCCAGCAGCCGCGGUAAUACGGAGGGUGCGAGCGUUAAUCGGAAUUACUGGGCGUAAAGCGCGCGUAGGUGGCUUGAUAAGCCGGUUGUGAAAGCCCCGGGCUCAACCUGGGAACGGCAUCCGGAACUGUCAAGCUAGAGUGCAGGAGAGGAAGGUAGAAUUCCCGGUGUAGCGGUGAAAUGCGUAGAGAUCGGGAGGAAUACCAGUGGCGAAGGCGGCCUUCUGGACUGACACUGACACUGAGGUGCGAAAGCGUGGGUAGCACACAGGAUUAGAUACCCCAGUAGUC
This 465-nucleotide ribosomal RNA is filed under the name Vreelandella stevensii. RNAcentral's name for it is "partial 16S ribosomal RNA". It matches the Rfam family "Bacterial small subunit ribosomal RNA", at positions 338 to 795 of the family's 1533-position model. The record is from RNAcentral. Lineage: Bacteria; Pseudomonadati; Pseudomonadota; Gammaproteobacteria; Oceanospirillales; Halomonadaceae.